UGAGUAACGCGUGGGUAACCUACCCCAAAGUCCGGGAUAACAGCGGGAAACCGCUGCUAAUACCGGAUGCCUUUACCUUGGGGCAUCUUGAGGUAAAGAAAGGUAACGCUUUGGGAUGGGCCCGCGUCCCAUUAGCUAGUUGGUGAGGUAACGGCUCACCAAGGCGACGAUGGGUAGCCGGCCUGAGAGGGUGGACGGCCACACUGGGACUGAGACACGGCCCAGACUCCUACGGGAGGCAGCAGUAGGGAAUAUUGCGCAAUGGACGGAAGUCUGACGCAGCGACGCCGCGUGAGCGAUGAAGGUCUUCGGAUCGUAAAGCUCUGUCCUUGGGGAAGAAGGUCUUCGGACUUGACGGUACCCAAGAAGAAAGCCCCGGCUAACUACGUGCCAGCAGCCGCGGUAAUACGUAGGGGGCGAGCGUUGUCCGGAAUUACUGGGCGUAAAGGGUGCGUAGGCGGCCCUUUAAGUCGGAUGUGAA
RNAcentral lists this ribosomal RNA (481 nucleotides) under uncultured bacterium. RNAcentral's name for it is "bacterial SSU rRNA". It matches the Rfam family "Bacterial small subunit ribosomal RNA", at positions 107 to 598 of the family's 1533-position model. The record is from RNAcentral.